Long non-coding RNA from Carassius gibelio (silver crucian carp), 473 nucleotides. RefSeq lists it as uncharacterized. The transcript has 3 exons. Lineage: Eukaryota; Metazoa; Chordata; Actinopteri; Cypriniformes; Cyprinidae. The record is from RefSeq and is a predicted model, not a curated record.
GACUGUCCUGUCAAGCAUUUUUAAGAAUGCUGGAUCAGCGAACUGUUCGCUUUGGUCGUAUCUGAGGAACAGGCCAUCUUUGAAGGCAUCUUUAUAGCCAAAGAUGAAGAUGUUACAAGAUUUGUGGACCACAUUCACAGCACAACCAAACAUGUCAGUGGGAGAGGUGUUUGUGGAGGGGAGUGGUCAGCAGCCAGAGAGACCUCACAAAGAUCUGCCAGCGAAGUAGACGGAGAGGGAUUGGAGGUUGCGGUUUGUCGGCACGGAGUGCUUCUCUGUGCUUUAAAUAUGUACAGGGGUGAAAUUUUUGCCUAUCCCCUGUACCUUCAAGAAAAGUUGGCCAGUAGGCAAGUCACUUUUUUUUGUAUGGAUGUGACCUGCAAAUAUUGGCCCUACCUGCAAAGAAUUACAAAAAGCUGCCCAGAGCUCCAGCACCUCCUUAACAUGAGACCAUUCCUUUCGGUAUUUCAUGC